Long non-coding RNA from Sorghum bicolor (sorghum), 892 nucleotides. RefSeq lists it as uncharacterized. NCBI's taxonomy places the organism in Eukaryota, Viridiplantae, Streptophyta, Magnoliopsida, Poales, Poaceae. The transcript is spliced from 3 exons. The record is from RefSeq and is a predicted model, not a curated record.
CUCUCUCUCUCGCAUGUGCAAAUCGAGCGCAGGGGCAUGGCGCCUGUGACGGUGCGGCGGAUCCAACGGCGAAGCAGGGCCUAGAACCCGGAUGGACGUGGGGCGCGGCACCUUAGGCGGCCGCGCUUCGAGCCGGAUCUCUCCGGCAGCAGCGCAGCGAUGUUCGGCCCCUCCAACGGCGGCGCGCUUGCAUAGGGUUCCUCCGGCAGCGGUGUGGGUCCUAGGGUUCCUCCGGCAGCAGCGCGGGGGUGCUCCUCUUCACCACCGACAUCCGCAGGUCUGGCGCCCUCUUCCGCCGCAACGCGCGCCAGCUCCGGCUGUGGCUCGAGGAGGACACGGCCUCCGCCGCGUCCAAUUGCUGCAAGCAAAAAACUGGAGCCUAAAGACAAGGUAGUACACAGUGAAAGGAAGGGAGAUCAACAACAGGUUGAUGAUAGCCGAACUAACAUUCACCAACCGAGGACUCACCGGGAGACCAUGGUACAAGCAUAUGAUAACAUUUUUUUGAAGCCCCCUGCACCCGUGAAGUUUAUUUCCGCCGGUGUGAAGCCACAAAACACUUAUAUUUCUAUAUUUUGCUUACGUGCAAAUGUUGUUGGGUAAACAAACAUUGGAAAAGGCAAUAGUGGCACCUAAACUUCGGAUUUCCUAAGCAAAUUAAUUCAGGGCAGUUGAAUGUAAGCAAAAGUUUACUUUCCAAGCUAUUUGACAAUAGGGAAGUGCAUAUGUCCAAGCUGAAACUAAGAUGAGUGGGCAUGGGCAUGAUUUUGUUUCUAAAUAUUUUUUCCCGUAGCAACGCACGGGCAUUCAACUAGUUUGUGAAUAUGUUGAUUGUUAUUCAGUAGUGUGAAUCUGUUCCUAGUGUGCAUAUAUGUCUCAUCAUUUAUGUUUC